Molecule: long non-coding RNA, 327 nt
Filed under: Oryza brachyantha (malo sina)
Lineage: Eukaryota; Viridiplantae; Streptophyta; Magnoliopsida; Poales; Poaceae
Description: long non-coding RNA (OBRA_LNC002025)
Source: RNAcentral
GGAAGGCACAUUUGACUUCAAAUUAAAACUUAAUUUGAAUCACCCAUUCUAAACAAAGGCAAGUUCACAUGGAUGCACCUAGCCUCCAAAUCUCAUCUCACGGAUUCACGGUGAAAUUGCUUCUCUCUCGUUAUCACCGAACUUCUCAGAGACAGGUCGCCACGGGGUCUGCUGCUAUGCGCCUCUGCCGUCUUCUACAAGCGACAUCGAGCCCUCGCUUAGCUGGGUGAGCGACAGCCAGCGGGAGUAGAGCAACAACCAAACCGCGAAUUUUGUAUCUUGUGGGCCAAAUUUUCCAUGUUCAUGUCUACGUCCGAUUCCCGAUGC